GGUCUUAUGGUCUAGUGGUAUGAUUCUCGCUUAGGGCACCUAAGCAGCUUGCGAGAGGCCCCGCGUUCGAAUCGCGGUAAGACCC
Sporormia fimetaria CBS 119925 is the source of this 85-nucleotide non-coding RNA. The record is from the annotation of a GenBank genome assembly. Lineage: Eukaryota; Fungi; Ascomycota; Dothideomycetes; Pleosporales; Sporormiaceae.